UGACCAGAAACUGCUCAGUCAUCGGGAUUGGACAAGCAACGAAAUGUGCUCCAUGUACUAACUGCACAGCUAUUUUUAAAGAGACUCUGGUUCCGUGUACUGCUUACACCAACUCAGUUUGCUUUCUGAGACCCACAGCGAUGCCUCAGCCAACUGAGUUACCAGCCCUAGGUCCUUCUACCUCUAUUGUGAUCAAGACCGUUUCUGUAUCCCUGCUGCUGUUUGUGUUCAUCCUUCUGGCGCUCUUCUUGACAUGGGUAUACCGAAGGAACAAGGGGCCAUUAGUGAAGCACGCUCCAAUCAAAACGGAGCUGCCACUGAAGGCAGGCCUACCUGUUUGACCCGCCUCACUCGUCGACUUCAGUGUGAAAAUGAAAGCCGAAUGGAAGAGUUCCUUUCAGCAGGUCAGCUUCAAUUCUUCAGAUCUCUAGAUCCUAACUGGUUCCGCUGGUAGCCCCGCCCUGUGAGAGCCCCAAGUAUAGGCUUAAGAUAGGGUCAGCUAGAUGUCUUAACAAGAGGCUAGAUAGGGUCAAAGUGUAGUUAGGUAGUUAGGUCUCAGGACAGCUUAUUUUCUAAAGCCCGGCGUACACUGUGCGAUUUUCGGGGUGAUUUUCCAGUCGUGCGAGAAUCUUUCGAUUGAAGGUUUGAUUGGAGGACGCUUCAGAUGUGUUACUCUGCAGUUAAAACCCGUUUAGAACAUCGACUCUAACCCAGCUGAGCCCUUGUCGUCAGAGGAAGUAGUUUGGCUCAGACCAAACAGGAAGUGGUUAGAAAGAGGAGUCCGAACCACUUCAGACAGACAGACAGACAGACAGACAGACAGACAGACAGACAGACAGACAGACAGACAGACAGACAGACAGACAGACAGACAGACAGACAGACAGACAGACAGAUAGAUAGAUAGAUAGAUAGAUAGAUAGUGAUGGCACACCUGAAAAACAUUCCAAGAAAAGUAUUGUAAUAUUACGUAUUUUCUUAAACACGUUUAUUUCCUUUGUGUGUACUGCAAUAACACCCAAAACAAAGAAAAAAAAGUUAGGUUUGACAUCACUUCACAUAAAACGUGUUAAAUAAAAGCUGGGAGCAAUCAAAGAUUGUCACCCUAAACCAGAUCAAUAGAAGAGACAUUGACUCAGUCUUUGCACCGUGUCUACGUGUGUGCGACACUCAGCGCUUACUGUAUCUCUAGAGAUCGGGAAGUGCGUCAAUACUCGGAACGCCACCGUAUCGCCACGUUUGCCUUCAGCAGGAUAAUGAUUCCAAACAUAUCAAACAGCCCCUAAAACACAGAAACACUGCUGAAAUAUUCUGAAGUGGCCAACAAUAAGUACAUCAUAAACUAGCCGUAUUAACAAACAUAAUAUUGCAAAUAUCUUUCAUUAUAUGGAAAGGUUUCAGGUGUGUCACCGCUUUGGGCCAGGAUCAGAUGGUUUUAUUCUUUCUCCCAGCUUGUCUCUCAUUGAAUCAGUUUGAUCAAACUUUCAUUCUUAUACUGUUCAGAUUUUAUGUACUGUCAAUUGCCUUCAAAAACAACUGAAUUUAUGGUCAGAGAGGUCAUGGAAAUGCUUGUAUCUUUUACCUGCAGUCAGUGUACUAGGGAAUUUUUAGGUGGCAGAAGUUUUAAAGGCUGCAACAAGAGAGUGUGUUUAAAGGUUCACCCUUGGUAAGGAUUAGGAGAUAAACAAGCAUUAAAUGGCCAUUAUUAGCUGUUAUCAGUCCCAUAGAAUGGCUCCAGACUGCGUCUCCUCUACCUUCUAGUUGGUUUCUCAUGGCUGAUAAUAAGCAACUAAUCGUUUCGAGCAGCCGCUUCGGUAGCGUCUAAAACCUUCAAGUUCUAUUUACCUACUUUAUGCUUUUUAUCUACUUUAUUUACAGCCUACAUUAUUAAAAAGUGUUGUAAAGCUUUACUUUGAGUGAAUUCUACAUGUUUAAGUCACACAGAUUUAAUGUGGUCUAUAAAAAAACAACUUAGUUUAUAGGAUAUGUGAUUUUUUUGUGAGCGGCAUGCCAGUCAACUUCUUUUUUUUUUUUUUUUCAAUAGAUUAAGAACUACUAAAAUCAUGUUCAGAUUACACUCAAAUAAAUUAGUUAAUUCUCCGGAUAAAAAUGGAAUUACCUCAGAGUUAGGUUUAUGUUUUAUUCAGUGAUAACAACCUACUGAGCCUACUGGGAUGUAGGAGCCACAACCGCUAAUAAUGGCCGUAUACUGGGAUGAUAAUAUCCGAAGUGACUGAGAUAGAUCAACCAUUGACAAACCCAGGUCUGACCAACCUCAGCUCCUGUUAAUCACUAACUAUUUAUUCCUCUGUAGGGACUGAAGGUUAAGGUUUGUCUGUAAACAAAGUGCGUUGAAUACAAACAUUACAUCCUCAUUGCAUUUAUUUGAAACUGUACAACUUCUUCAGUCGAGGCAGACAGUUUUCUCAGUGCAGUUUUAUGAUUAAAAUACUUGCUUUUUUUUAUAUCUAAGGUACUCAAAUCCCGUAAUUUGGUUUAAACUAAAAGUUUGAGUUUAAAUAUGAAUCAAAAUAUAUGAGCUGGACAGGAAGGUCAUUAGAUAAAAUUUAGAAAUUAUUAAAAA
Long non-coding RNA from Cyprinodon tularosa, 2584 nucleotides. RefSeq lists it as uncharacterized. The record is from RefSeq and is a predicted model, not a curated record. The transcript has 4 exons. Lineage: Eukaryota; Metazoa; Chordata; Actinopteri; Cyprinodontiformes; Cyprinodontidae.